This 26-nucleotide non-coding RNA is filed under the name Cricetulus griseus (Chinese hamster). The record is from RNAcentral. Lineage: Eukaryota; Metazoa; Chordata; Mammalia; Rodentia; Cricetidae.
GGGGGUUUUCUCGAUUGUUAAGUACC